Molecule: long non-coding RNA, 286 nt
Organism: Gadus chalcogrammus (walleye pollock)
Lineage: Eukaryota; Metazoa; Chordata; Actinopteri; Gadiformes; Gadidae
Exons: 3
Source: RefSeq, a predicted model, not a curated record
GCUGACUGACGUGUGGGUGGGCUUCUCCCGGGCUGACUUAUAGCACACAAACAAACAAAUAAACUGCGGAUAUUACAGCCGACAGACAGACAGCCCUCUGGAGUAGACAGACAGACAGACCGACUGACAGCCCUCUGGAGGAGACCGACUCCUCUACAGAAGCGGACUGAACACCACUGUAACUCCAUGGAGCGAUGCUUUAGCGUCAGCGGCGACUGCACCGCCCCCUCCCUGGCUGGCCGCGCCCCCCCGGCCCCCCCGGCCCCCGCCCACCCGGUCUCCACGG